This 229-nucleotide ribosomal RNA is filed under the name uncultured bacterium. RNAcentral describes it as "partial 16S ribosomal RNA". It matches the Rfam family "Bacterial small subunit ribosomal RNA", at positions 568 to 796 of the family's 1533-position model. The record is from RNAcentral.
CGCGUAGGCGGUCUUUUAAGUCAGAUGUGAAAGCCCGGGGCUUAACCCCGGAAGUGCAUUUGAAACUGGAUGACUUGAGUAUGGGAGAGGGAAGUGGAAUUCCUGGUGUAGAGGUGAAAUUCGUAGAUAUCAGGAGGAACACCGGUGGCGAAGGCGACUUCCUGGACCAAUACUGACGCUGAGGCGCGAAGGCGUGGGGAGCAAACAGGAUUAGAUACCCUGGUAGUCC